GCAGGAAUACGUUAGCAGGUAGGCUGACUGAAUAGCAACAUUCUCAAUAACGGUUACAGAAAUGUUUUACUUGCUGUGAUAUGUUGUUUAUCUACCUUACUUGAGCAAGUCCCUCUGGAUAAGAGUGUUUGCUAAAUUACCAAAAUGUACAUGUAUAUAUGAAAAUGAUCCAAAAUAAACCAUAAAGCACACUGGGUAUUAUUAUUGGCCUUGUUUUGAGGCGUAGCUGUAAUGGCUGUUGAAGGGAGUAGACCAAGGCGCAGCGUGGUUAGUGCUCAUCUUGUAUUUAUUAAACUAAGAAUGCUAUAAACAAAGAAACAAAAACGACAGCCCACAGUUCUGUCAGGUUAGACAACUAAACAUAAAUAAACCACCCAUAAACACAAUGAAAAAAAAAAACUACUUAAAUAUUGUCUCUAAUCAGAGGCAACGAGAUCAGCUGCCUCCAAUUAGAGACCAACCCCAAACAAUUCCAACAUAGAAAUAGAUACCCUUGAAUAAACAUAGAAAUAGAAGAACAUAGAACAUAACCCAAAAACCCCAAAACACACAGACAAACACCCCCUGCCACGCCCUGACCAAACUACAAUAACAAAUAACCCCUUCUACUGGUCAGGACGUGACAGUAGCUCAUUAGAAUAAUACUCAGCAUGCUUUGCAAUUUUUCAUUGGACACUCUUACAGGCUGACUGCGAUGCAAGCGUUGCAAAAUAAAUUUAGAAAUCUAUGUUAUUGAAUUAUUGCACCCACACUGCUCACGUGCGCCCACGAGUGUCUGCGUUGCCAAGGGCUAACACGGAACCCAAACCGGCUGCGCGCGUGCGCCAUCGUGCAUACAUUUAUUUUGUCCCCCAAAACCAAAUGUGAUCAGGACACGCAGGUUAAAAUAUGAAAACAAACUCUGAACCAAUUAUAUUAAUUUGGGGACAUGUCAAAAAGCAUUAAACAUUUAUGGCAAUUUAGCUAGUUAGCUUGCACUUGCUAGCUAAUUUCUCCAAUUUAGCUAGCUUGCUGUUGCUAGCUAAUUUGUCCUGGGAUAUAAACAUUGAGUAGUUUUUUUACCUGAAAUGCACAAGGUCCUCUACUCCGCCAAUUAAUCCACACAUAAAAUGGUCAACCGAAUCGUUUCUAGUCAUCUCUCUUCCUUCCAGGCUUUUUCUUCUCUUGACUUUAUAUUGCGAUUGGCAACUUUCAUAAAUUAGGUGCAUUACCACCACUGACCUCAUUCGUCUUUCUGUCACCCAAGUGGGUAUAACCAAUGAGGAGAUGGCACGUGGGUACCUGCUUCUAUAAACCAAAGUGGAGAUGGGAGAGGCAGAACUUGCAGUGCGAUCUGCUUCAGAAAUAGAACUGAUUUCUAUUUUAUCCUUUGGCAACGCAGACGCUCGUUGGCGCGUGCAAGCAGUGUGGGUGCAAUUAUUGAAUAACAUAGAUUUCUAAAUAUAUUUUGCAAUGUGAUGUGGUCAGCCUAUUACUCUCUUACUGACGGUUGUGGCUGCUUUGCGUGAUGUAUUGUGGUCUCUACCUUCUUGCCCUUUGUGCUGUUGUCUAUGCCCAAUAAUGUUUGUACCAUGUUGUGUUGCUACCAUGUUGUGUUGCUACCAUGUUAUUAUCAUGUUGUGUUGCUACUAUACUGUGUUGUCAUGUGUUGCUGCCUUGCUAUGUUGUUUUACUGUAGGUCUCUCUUUAUGUAGUGUUGUGUUGUCUCUCUUGUCGUGAUGUGUUUGUUUUGUCCGAUAUUUAUUUAUUUAUAUAUAUAUUAUCCCAGCCCCCUGUCCCUGCAGAAAGCCUUUUGCCUUUAGGUAGGCCAUCAUUGUAAAUAAGGAUUUGUUCUUAAUUGACUUGUCUAGUUAAAUAAAGGUUAAAUAAAAAUAAAUAAAAUAAAACAAAUGUACAUAUACAUUUAUAUUUAGUUCAUUUAGCAGACACUCUUAUCACACCAUAGUGCAAUCAGAGUUCUGUUACCAAUGCAGGGUGAAAGGGGGCAAAACAUUUUUUACUGCUAUAAAAAAUGGUAUAGAAAAGUAUUUUAUAUUUAGAAAAUACAAAUUACAGCUAUCAAAAGUAUCUUGUUACAAAAUACAUUGGAGUAUAGAUCAGCACAGUGUAAUACAAAUACUCAGAAGUAGUGGAAAUAAAUAUUUCAAAUACUUGUAACAGAGAUACUGCCCAUCUCUGGUCAAUGCCCUAACGAGCUAGCAAUGGGGUCGGUAGGAGCUGCCCAAAGGCGCAUGACCAUAGGACGCGUUCCAGAGAAUCGGCUGACAGAGGUGUGACUGCCCAGUUAACAAUGAGCACUCUGGAUAUGUUUUGGCCAUCGCCUCAUUCACAAGGCGCUCGCAAUAUGUCGCUUUGUCAAAGGCAGCCAUGCUCCUGCCAUUCACAUCCCGACCGGCGACACUACAGCUGCCAGUCAGAGGUCAGGCUCUUUUUAAACAUUAAGCCAGCUGCAUGCCUACUCCCUGUCACGACUUAUUUUUAUAUUUAUACAUUUUUAUCAAGACGGGCUUGUGGGGCAAAGUGCAAGCCUAAAUUUCAGAGGCACGGAGAUGGUAUGGAAUUAAAGUAGAAAGGUGCAAGGUCCCAUGGGUGAAGACCUAUGGGCAAACCGGCUCUCCCAUCCCAGUGAGGAAGCCCUCUUGAGACAGAAUGCAGCACGCUCCCCAAACCUGUGA
RNAcentral lists this long non-coding RNA (2675 nucleotides) under Salmo salar (Atlantic salmon). Its description in RNAcentral is "lncRNA (ENSSSAG00000117337.1)". Lineage: Eukaryota; Metazoa; Chordata; Actinopteri; Salmoniformes; Salmonidae. The record is from RNAcentral.